RNAcentral lists this ribosomal RNA (305 nucleotides) under uncultured bacterium. RNAcentral describes it as "bacterial SSU rRNA". It matches the Rfam family "Bacterial small subunit ribosomal RNA", at positions 335 to 638 of the family's 1533-position model. The record is from RNAcentral.
GGCCUACGGGGGGCAGCAGUGAGGAAUAUUGGUCAAUGGUCGGGAGACUGAACCAGCCAAGCCGCGUGAGGGAUGAAGGUACAGAGUAUCGUAAACCUCUUUUGUCAGGGAACAAAGGCGGGGACGUGUCCCCGGAUGAGUGUACCUGAAGAAAAAGCAUCGGCUAACUACGUGCCAGCAGCCGCGGUAAUACGGAGGGGGCGAGCGUUAUCCGGAUUCACUGGGCGUAAAGGGAGCGCAGGCGGCACGGCAAGCCCGGUGUGAAAGCCCGGGGCCCAACCCCGGGACUGCACUGGAAACUGCCG